RNAcentral lists this ribosomal RNA (441 nucleotides) under uncultured bacterium. RNAcentral's name for it is "bacterial SSU rRNA". It matches the Rfam family "Bacterial small subunit ribosomal RNA", at positions 337 to 795 of the family's 1533-position model. The record is from RNAcentral.
CCCUACGGGCGGCUGCAGUGGGGAAUAUUGGACAAUGGGGGCAACCCUGAUCCAGCCAUGCCGCGUGAGUGAUGAAGGCCCUAGGGUUGUAAAGCUCUUUCGGUGGGGAAGAUAAUGACGGUACCCACAGAAGAAGCCCCGGCUAACUUCGUGCCAGCAGCCGCGGUAAUACGAAGGGGGCUAGCGUUGCUCGGAAUCACUGGGCGUAAAGCGCACGUAGGCGGCUUUCUAAGUCAGGGGUGAAAUCCCGGAGCUCAACUCCGGAACUGCCUUUGAUACUGGGAGGCUCGAGUCCGGGAGAGGUGAGUGGAACUGCGAGUGUAGAGGUGAAAUUCGUAGAUAUUCGCAAGAACACCAGUGGCGAAGGCGGCUCACUGGCCCGGUACUGACGCUGAGGUGCGAAAGCGUGGGGAGCAAACAGGAUUAGAUACCCCUGUAGUC